AACUAGCCCCGAUUGCAGCGACAUCCUUUUUCUUAGAUUGGGAAUUGCGGUUACAAGAAAAAGAUAUAGCGGAAAGCGGGAAAUGCU
RNAcentral lists this small RNA (87 nucleotides) under Cloacibacterium normanense. Its description in RNAcentral is "Flavo-1 RNA". It matches the Rfam family "Flavo-1 RNA". Lineage: Bacteria; Pseudomonadati; Bacteroidota; Flavobacteriia; Flavobacteriales; Weeksellaceae. The record is from Rfam by way of RNAcentral.